RNAcentral lists this ribosomal RNA (490 nucleotides) under uncultured bacterium. RNAcentral describes it as "partial 16S ribosomal RNA". It matches the Rfam family "Bacterial small subunit ribosomal RNA", at positions 30 to 507 of the family's 1533-position model. The record is from RNAcentral.
AUUGAACGCUGGCGGCAGGCCUAACACAUGCAAGUCGAACGGUAACAGGGAUCAGCUUGCUGAUUCGCUGACGAGUGGCGGACGGGUGAGUAAUGACUGGGAAACUGCCUGAUGGAGGGGGAUAACUACUGGAAACGGUAGCUAAUACCGCAUAACGUCGCAAGACCAAAGAGGGGGACCUUCGGGCCUCUUGCCAUCGGAUGUGCCCAGAUGGGAUUAGCUAGUAGGUGGGGUAACGGCUCACCUAGGCGACGAUCCCUAGCUGGUCUGAGAGGAUGACCAGCCACACUGGAACUGAGACACGGUCCAGACUCCUAUGGGAGGCAGCAGUGGGGAAUAUUGCACAAUGGGCGCAAGCCUGAUGCAGCCAUGCCGCGUGUAUGAAGAAGGCCUUCGGGUUGUAAAGUACUUUCAGCGGGGAGGAAGGGAGUAAAGUUAAUACCUUUGCUCAUUGACGUUACCCGCAGAAGAAGCACCGGCUAACUCCGUG